RNAcentral lists this ribosomal RNA (345 nucleotides) under uncultured bacterium. RNAcentral's name for it is "bacterial SSU rRNA". It matches the Rfam family "Bacterial small subunit ribosomal RNA", at positions 917 to 1261 of the family's 1533-position model. The record is from RNAcentral.
GGGCCCGCACAAGCGGUGGAGCAUGUGGUUUAAUUCGAUGAUACGCGAGGAACCUUACCAGGGCUUAAAUGUAACGGGACAGAUCUAGAGAUAGAUCCUUCUUCGGACUCAUUACAAGGUGCUGCAUGGUUGUCGUCAGCUCGUGCCGUGAGGUGUCAGGUUAAGUCCUAUAACGAGCGCAACCCCCAUCGUUAGUUGCCAACGAGUAAUGUCGGGAACUCUAACGAAACUGCCGGUGCAAACCGUGAGGAAGGUGGGGGAUGACGUCAAAUCAUCACGGCCCUUACGUCCUGGGCUACACACGUGCUACAAUGGUCGGUACAGAGAGAGCCACUACGCCGAGAU